This 440-nucleotide ribosomal RNA is filed under the name uncultured bacterium. RNAcentral describes it as "partial 16S ribosomal RNA". It matches the Rfam family "Bacterial small subunit ribosomal RNA", at positions 338 to 795 of the family's 1533-position model. The record is from RNAcentral.
CCUACGGGGGGCUGCAGUCGGGAAUUUUGGGCAAUGGGGGAAACCCUGACCCAGCAACGCCGCGUGAAGGAUGAAGUAUUUCGGUAUGUAAACUUCGAACGAAUAGGAAGAAUUAAUGACGGUACUAUUUAUAAGGUCCGGCUCACUACGUGCCAGCAGCCGCGGUAAUACGUAGGGCCCACGCGUUGUUCGGAUUUACUGGGCGUAAAGGGCGCGUAGGCGGCAUGGUAAGUCACUUGUGAAAUCUCCGAGCUUAACUCGGAACGGCCAAGUGAUACUGCUGAGCUAGAGUGCAGAAGGGGAAAUCGGAAUUCGUGGUGUAGCGGUGAAAUGCGUAGAUAUCAAGAGGAACACCUGAGGGGAAGACGGGUGGCUGGGCUGACACUGACGCUGAGGCGCGAAAGCUAGGGGAGCAAACGGGAUUAGAUACCCCAGUAGUC